GGUCUCGUAGCUUAGCUCGUAAAGCCUGCUCGUACAAAGUGUAGGCGGCAUCCAUGUGUGGGUUCGAAUCCCACCGAGGCUA
RNAcentral lists this transfer RNA (82 nucleotides) under Echinostoma caproni. It matches the Rfam family "tRNA". From Rfam's summary of the family: Transfer RNA (tRNA) molecules are approximately 80 nucleotides in length. The record is from Rfam by way of RNAcentral. Lineage: Eukaryota; Metazoa; Platyhelminthes; Trematoda; Plagiorchiida; Echinostomatidae.